CCCUGUACGGUGCUCCCGUGUGGUCGC
Molecule: small RNA, 27 nt
Filed under: Bombyx mori (domestic silkworm)
Lineage: Eukaryota; Metazoa; Arthropoda; Insecta; Lepidoptera; Bombycidae
Description: ovarian small RNA-13745
Source: RNAcentral